UAGGGAAUCUUCCGCAAUGGACGAAAGUCUGACGGAGCAACGCCGCGUGAGUGAAGAAGGAUUUCGGUUCGUAAAACUCUGUUGUUAGGGAAGAAAAAAUGUAUAGUAACUAUAUACAAAAGAGACGGUACCUAACCAGAAAGCCACGGCUAACUACGUGCCAGCAGCCGCGGUAAUACGUAGGUGGCAAGCGUUGUCCGGAAUUAUUGGGCGUAAAGCGCGCGCAGGUGGUUUAGAAAGUCGGAUGUGAAAGCCCACGGCUCAACCGGGGAGGGUCAUUGGAAACUAAUAAACUUGAGUGCAGGAGAGAAAAGUGGAAUUCCUAGUGUAGCGAUGAAAUGCGUAGAGAUUAGGAGGAACACCGGUGGCGAAAGCGGCUUUUUGGCCUGCAACUGACACUGAGGCGCGAAAGCGUGGGGAGCAAACAGG
RNAcentral lists this ribosomal RNA (429 nucleotides) under Verrucomicrobiota bacterium. Its description in RNAcentral is "Verrucomicrobia bacterium partial 16S ribosomal RNA". It matches the Rfam family "Bacterial small subunit ribosomal RNA", at positions 355 to 776 of the family's 1533-position model. Lineage: Bacteria; Pseudomonadati; Verrucomicrobiota. The record is from RNAcentral.